AAUUGGAGUAGAGAUCAAAUGUAUUGCAAUUGUCAACUGACUUGGAUGACUCAGCCAAUUCCCCAGCAGUCACCUCUGAGGUAAUUCUGUGCAAAAUUGCGGUCAAAGGGGCCGUGGCAUCAGUCAACGAUGUAGUUGGGCUUUGAAGAGAUGAUUUGCUGUAUUUGGUACGACGCCAAUGUAAAGAAAGUGG
Molecule: long non-coding RNA, 193 nt
Organism: Coffea eugenioides
Lineage: Eukaryota; Viridiplantae; Streptophyta; Magnoliopsida; Gentianales; Rubiaceae
Exons: 2
Source: RefSeq, a predicted model, not a curated record